GAUGAACGCUGGCGGCGUGCCUAAUACAUGCAAGUCGAGCGAACAGACGAGGAGCUUGCUCCUCUGACGUUAGCGGCGGACGGGUGAGUAACACGUGGAUAACCUACCUAUAAGACUGGGAUAACUUCGGGAAACCGGAGCUAAUACCGGAUAAUAUAUUGAACCGCAUGGUUCAAUAGUGAAAGACGGUUUUGCUGUCACUUAUAGAUGUAUCCGCGCCGCAUUAGCUAGUUGGUAAGGUAACGGCUUACCAAGGCAACGAUGCGUAGCCGACCUGAGAGGGUGAUCGGCCACACUGGAACUGAGACACGGUCCAGACUCCUACGUGAGGCAGCAGUAGGGAAUCUUCCGCAAUGGGCGAAAGCCUGACGGAGCAACGCCGCGUGAGUGAUGAAGGUCUUCGGAUCGUAAAACUCUGUUAUUAGGGAAGAACAAAUGUGUAAGUAACUAUGCACGUCUUGACGGUACCUAAUCAGAAAGCCACGGCUAACUACGUG
This 497-nucleotide ribosomal RNA is filed under the name uncultured bacterium. RNAcentral describes it as "partial 16S ribosomal RNA". It matches the Rfam family "Bacterial small subunit ribosomal RNA", at positions 28 to 507 of the family's 1533-position model. The record is from RNAcentral.